Molecule: ribosomal RNA, 404 nt
Filed under: bacterium enrichment culture clone ALO1_GLFRUDD03GYDPP
Lineage: Bacteria
Description: bacterial SSU rRNA
Rfam family: Bacterial small subunit ribosomal RNA
Source: RNAcentral
GAGUGAUCCUGGCUCAGAUUGAACGCUGGCGGCAUGCCUUACACAUGCAAGUCGAACGGCAGCACGGGAGCUUGCUCCUGGUGGCGAGUGGCGAACGGGUGAGUAAUGCAUCGGAACGUAUCCUGGAGUGGGGGAUAACGUAGCGAAAGUUACGCUAAUACCGCAUAUUCUGUGAGCAGGAAAGCGGGGGACCUUCGGGCCUCGCGCUCUUGGAGCGGCCGAUGUCGGAUUAGCUAGUUGGUGAGGUAAAGGCUCACCAAGGCGACGAUCCGUAGCAGGUCUGAGAGGAUGAUCUGCCACACUGGAACUGAGACACGGUCCAGACUCCUACGGGAGGCAGCAGUGGGAAUUUUGGACAAUGGGGGCAACCCUGAUCCAGCCAUGCCGCGUGAGUGAAGAAGGCC